GAUGAACGCUGGCGGCGUGCCUAAUACAUGCAAGUCGAGCGGACUUUCCGGAGUGCUUGUCCUCCGGAGGGUUAGCGGGGGGCGUGUGUGAAACACGUAUGCCACCUGCCCAUGAGUCGGGGAUCUCAUUCGGAAAGGAAUGCUAAUACCGGAUAGACGUACUUCUCGUAGGUCGGGAGUGGGAGAGGGGUUGGAAUUUGCCUCUUGUGGAUGGCGCUGCGGCGCAUUAGCUAGUUGGUGGGGUAACGGCCUACCAAGGCGACGAUGCGUAGCCGACCUGAGAGGGUGAUCGGCCACACUGGGACUGAGACACGGCCCAGACUCCUACGGGAGGCAGCAGUAGGGAAUCUUCCGCAAUGGGCGCAAGUCUGACGGAGCAACGCCGCGUGAGUGAGGAAGGCCUUCGGGUCGUAAAGCUCUGUUGCCAGGGAAGAACGAAUAUGGGAGUAACUGCCCUUGCCAUGACGGUACCUGAGAAGAAAGCCCCGGCUAACUACGUG
This 500-nucleotide ribosomal RNA is filed under the name uncultured bacterium. RNAcentral describes it as "partial 16S ribosomal RNA". It matches the Rfam family "Bacterial small subunit ribosomal RNA", at positions 28 to 507 of the family's 1533-position model. The record is from RNAcentral.